ACAGACAGGCUGCCAGCCCUCAGCAUGGACCCGGCACAUGGAAUCUGUGAUCUUAAAAGAGUCAAGUGACUACCUUUGGCAACCAAAAGAGACACUGCCUUUUAGAAGGCAUAUCAUCUGAAACUGGCUGAAAGAGCUGUCUUACUUAGGAAGAAAAAUCUCUCCUUUGGAAAGAGCUGGAACUUUUAGUAAAACUGAACAGUGAGGUGGCGGAAGUAGAGAUGAUGUCUUGCCACAUUGCCCAGGCUGGUCUCAAACUCCAGGCCUAAAGGGAUCUUCUGACUUUGGCCUCCCAAAGUGCUGAGAUUAUAGGAUCGAGGCUAUCAAGCUACAGAUGAUCUUACAAAUGGAACCCCAAAUGAGCUCAACUAACAACUACCAAGGACCCCUGGACCAACCCGCUGGCCCUUUCAAUGGCCUAAAGAGUUCCCCUCUGGAGGACACUACAACUGCAGGGUCCUUUCUUUGCCCCUAUCCAGCAGGAAGUAGCUAGAGUGGUCAUCACCCAAUUCCCAACAGCAGUUGGGGUGUCUUGUUAAGUGGGGAGAUUGAGAGGUGAAGCCAGCUGGGCUUCUGGGUUGGGUGGGGACUUGGAGAACUUUUCUGUCUAGCUAGAGGAUUGUAAACACACCAAUCAGUGCUAUGUGUCUAGCUAGAGGUUUGUAAAUGCACCAAUCAGCACUCUGUAAAAACGGACCAAUCAGCACUCUGUAAAAUGGACCAAUCAGUAGGAUGCGGGCAGGGCCAAAUAAGGGAAUAAAAGCUGGCCACCUGAGUCAGCAGUGGCAACCCACUCGGGUCCCCUUCCAUGCUGUGGAAGCUUUGUUCUUUCACUCUUCACAAUAAAUCUUGCUGCUGCUCACUCUUUGGGUCCACACCACCUUUAUGAGCUGCAACACUCACUGCGAAGGUCUUCAGCUUCACUCCUGAAGUCAGCGAGACCACGAACCCAUGGGGAGGAACAAUCGACUUCAGACAUGCCACCUUUAAGAGCUGUAACACUCACUGCGAAGGUCUGUGGCUUCACUCCUGAAGUCAGCAAGACCACGAACCCACUGGAAGGAAGAAAUUUCGGACACAUCUGAACAUCUGAAUGAACAAACUCUGGACACGCCAUCUUUAAGAACUGUAACACUCACUGUGAGGGUUCAUGGGUUCAUUCUUGAAGUCAGCAAGACCAAGAACCCACCAGAAGGAACCAAUUCCGGACACAGACUCACUGCAACCUCCACCUCCUGGAUUCAAGUGAUUCUCCUGCCUCAGCCUCCGGAGUAGCUGUGCCUACAGGCACAAGCCACCACACACGGCUAAUUUUUUGUAUUUUUAGUAGAGAUGGGGUUUCACCAUGUUGCUCAGGCUGGUCUCCAACUCCUGAGCUCAAGUGAUCCACCUGUCUCGGCCUCCCAAAGUGUUGGGAUACAUGUGUGAGCCACUGUGCCCGGCCUCCUCUGGAUUAGUUCUUACAGGAAUAGAUUAGUUCUUGCUCGAGCAAGUUGUUAUAAAAGUGAGGUUGCCUCUAGUGUUUUGCAUCCUCACAUAUGUCUGCUUACCUCUUGACCUCUCUCUGUGUUAUGACCCAGCACAAAAGCCCUUACCAGAAGCCAAGCAGAUGCUGAUGCCACACCCCUUGGACUUCUCAGUCUACAGAGCCAUGAAACGAAUAAACCUCUCUUUAUAAA
RNAcentral lists this long non-coding RNA (1679 nucleotides) under Homo sapiens (human). RNAcentral describes it as "HSALNT0364814". Lineage: Eukaryota; Metazoa; Chordata; Mammalia; Primates; Hominidae. The record is from RNAcentral.